CCCAUACUGCCAGAGAUGUAUAAUAGCGGUAAGAAUGCUUGGUUCAAAUCCCAGUUCUCCUUCCUAGCUGUGUGGCCUCAGACAACUUACCUGAUAUCUCUGAAUCUCAGUUCUCUGAAUCUCUGAAAUGGGGAUCAUACCUGUACUUAUUCUUGUAGGAUUGUUGGGAAGAUUGAGUGACUUAAUGCACAUUCAAGAGUUUAGAACAGUGCCUGGCACCAAGUGUAGUCUCUGACUGUUAUAACCUUCUCUGAGCCUGUAAAAUGGGGUAACCUCACCUACUUCUGGGGUCAUUCUGAAGGACCAAAGAGCUAAUGGAAGUGAAGCACCUAGUCAUAUGCCUGGCACACGAGAGAUGCUCAAAAAUGGCUCAACUUGGACACCUGUAAAAUGGGCUCUGGAGCUGACAGGUAUAGACUGCUUUAAGCCAGCACCCAGGAAGAUCAUCCAACUGGAAAAGCAGUCAUCAGAGAACAGAGAAGCCUGAGCUCUUCAAAGAAGUCUAAGGUCAUGGAACCAAACAAGCUUCCUAAUUCAAUUCAAAUAUCUCUUCUCUGACCUGCACCACAAGUUCUCCCUUCACACUCGCUUUUCAUAUCCGAUAAUUCUGAAAAUGACAUGUAUCUCUCCUGUAAGCCUUUAAGUUCCAAGAGAUAAGAGGCUGCAUCUGUCUUGUUCGUCAGCACGUAUGGGGCCUUGCUUUGCAUGGUGGUUGCAUGCGCGUGCUUUUUUCGUGCUAAUUCAUUGAGCUCUUGGUGCAAUGCCAGUGCCCAGUAAAUAUUCACUGAAUGCAUGAAUGAAUCACAGAGUCUUCAGUAGUUAUCCAGGCCAUUCACCCACUACAUUCCUGAAUCCUUGCCUCAAAAUUCCUACCAAGUGUCUGCUAGUAUUUGCCAACAAAACAGCUCUAGUGACAAGGAGCUCUCUACUGCCCAAGGCUGCCUGUUUAUUUUUUGUGUAGUUCUGUUGGCUAGAAAGUUCUUCUUAAUAUGGAGCUGAAAUAUAUCUGCUUGAGGCUUCCAGUCAGUUUCUUGUUCUAUCCUUAUGAUCACAUAAAUCAAGCCUACGCCCUCUUUGUGACGACAACCUUUUAGACAUUUGAAGUUAGUUCUCACACCCACCUCUUCUCCAAGCUAAUCACAAAAUCAUUGAUGAGACGCAUAUUUGUUGAGUACCUACGAAAGGAAUAGGCUAGAGAACACAAAGAUGAAAAGAUAUAAUACCUGUCCUGAGGUCUCCAGUCUUGGGGAGCCAGAGAAAUUUAAGAGAGAAUGUGAUAAGUGCUAGGGAUGGUGGAGACACAGGGGAAAGAGAGCCCAAGCCCACUCAAGGAGACCCUUGAGGAAGGCUCCACAGAGGAGUGGGCUAUAGAAUAUGCUCCAAGCAGGCCAGGGAGGAGAGGAUGUUCCAAGAGGAAGGGAGAGCAUACGCAAAAAUCUGGCAAUAUAAGAGUCCAUGGCAUGGAAAGAGAACUUUAAGAAGUUCAUAUGGCUAGGAAGACCAGAAGUCCCAGCUUGCUCA
Molecule: long non-coding RNA, 1521 nt
Filed under: Equus asinus (donkey)
Lineage: Eukaryota; Metazoa; Chordata; Mammalia; Perissodactyla; Equidae
Description: lncRNA (ENSEASG00005026739.1)
Source: RNAcentral